GUGCUGAUUUGGCAGCAUAUAUACUAAAAUUGGAACGAUACAGAGAAGAUUUGCAUGGCCCCUGAGCAAGGAUGACACACAAAUUUGUGAAGCAUUCCAUAUUUUU
Molecule: small nuclear RNA, 106 nt
Filed under: Nannospalax galili (Upper Galilee mountains blind mole rat)
Lineage: Eukaryota; Metazoa; Chordata; Mammalia; Rodentia; Spalacidae
Source: RNAcentral